UGGGGAAUUUUGGACAAUGGGGGCAACCCUGAUCCAGCAAUGCCGCGUGAGUGAAGAAGGCCUUCGGGUUGUAAAGCUCUUUUGUCAGGGAAGAAACGGGACUGGCUAAUAUCCAGUCCUAAUGACGGUACCUGAAGAAUAAGCACCGGCUAACUACGUG
Molecule: ribosomal RNA, 160 nt
Filed under: uncultured bacterium
Lineage: Bacteria
Description: partial 16S rRNA
Rfam family: Bacterial small subunit ribosomal RNA
Source: RNAcentral